CGAAGCCCAGUUUGAUCAGUUUCACUCGAUCACAGGGAAGCCCAUUUCAGCCCAUCAGAUGCUUGAUCGCAAAGUCUUGUUGUGAAGACCACUAUCCCGAACUUUCCUUAUUUAACUUUUUUCGCUUAUAUAAGCAGCCUCUAAGGGUUUUCCCUAGGGCAUCCAGUUUUUAUUUUCAGUUUUUACCUAGACUCGUUUUGGUAGCCGCAGUGUGUUCUUCCUGCGACUUUGUAUUUGCUUUCAAGUAUUUUAUAAUUCAGUUUUUGUUUCACUCUUUAUCAUUUCUUGUUAUCAUGUUUUCUAUCGUUUCAUUGCUAUUGUUUUUGAUUAUGUCUGAGUAGUGAAGUGUAUUUCUGAGGAUGGGAUAGAGUGGUCGUGGUUGUCUUAGUCGAUUUAGAUGGUUGAGUUUAGAUUGUUUGAAUCCCUUCUGGAUUAGUUGCGCUUAUUGCUUGUUCCUUUCUGAUCAACUGGAAAAUGAAUCCAGACAUUCCCGCACCUAAAAGGUGUUUGAUGGAAUGUUUGAUCCACUAAUUCCAGAGAUACUCGUCUCUAUCCCAAGGUAUUGGCCGUUUAGAGCGGGUAUUGGCUUUAACAAGUUGAUUCGAUAUUGCCUGCUUAGUUAGAGAUCGCUAAUGGUGAUUAGGUCUGUGUCUAGCUCUGCUUGAGAAUUUCUAUCACGGUGGUGAAUUGAUUUGCUUUUGAACUUGUUGUCAAGGGAUAGCUUCUGUGAAGUUUUGUCAACCAUCUAAAUAGAUUAAGGAGACCACGCUAUUCGAUUACCCUGUCCUUAGGAAUCUCUCAUCCAUUUGAUUGCCUGCUAUUUUACCUGCUUUAUUAUUCAACUGCCUGCUAUUGCUAGUUUGCAUCUCGGUUUCAUUUCAUUUCUGUUAUUUCGCAUUAGGAUUGUUAGAAAACAACAACUCUCUGCUUGGCUUGACUUAGCAAAUUCUGAUCAUAUCUCAUCUGUUUGCAUCGCACUAGAUUGGAUUGAUACCCUAAAAUACUACGACGACACGAUAGUGUUUUAGGUUUAAUUGAUCUGAAAAGUCUAUUAUCAAUUUGGCGCCGUUGCCAGUUUAGUGUUUGUUUGCUAUAUUUGAGAUCAUUAGAAUCGUUAAGAUCAAGUUCGUUUUUGUUACACAAGAUACUGACAUUGUGUUUUUCUGUCUGUGUUUCAGGUACUCACAGCAACCAGCUUUACAGACUCAUCUUUGAUUGGUCUGCUAAAGCCUUGCUGUUACCUGUUAUAUGCAUACACGGUCAAGAGGAAAUCAGAAUCUCCUUUUCAACGAUAACAUCGACCGUAUCGCUCGCCAACUAAGAGAACAAAAAGCAACAGACACAAUGGCUGAUAUUGUAGAUGACCAAGACCAACCCAACAACAUUGGUGCUGGUGACUUCCCACACAAUCACAACCAGCGUCAUGGAAUUGUUCCUCCACCAGUCCAGAACAACAACUUUGAGAUCAAGAGCGGUCUCAUUGCAAUGGUUCACGGGAACAAGUUUCACGGCUUGCCAAUGGAGGAUCCGCUUGAUCAUCUUGACGAGUUUGAAAGGCUCUGUGGCCUUACUAAAAUCAAUGGAGUAAGUGAAGAUGGUUUCAAGCUUCACUUGUUUCCAUUCUCACUUGGAGACAAAGCCCAUCUGUGGGAAAAGACGCUACCCCGGGGUUCAAUCACGACCUGGGAUGACUGCAAAAAAUCCUUCUUGGCUAAAUUCUUCUCCAACUCCAGAACAGCAAGACUCCGGAAUGAGAUAUCCGGAUUCACUCAGAAGAAUGCUGAAACCUUCUGUGAAGCAUGGGAGCGCUUCAAAGGUUAUCAGACCAAAUGCCCUCAUCACGGCUUUGGAAAAGCUUCUCUUCUCAGCACACUCUACAGAGGCGUCCUUCCCAAGAUAAGGAUGCUACUUGACACCGCUUCCAAUGGGAACUUCCUCAACAAAGACGUUGGAGAAGGGUGGGAGCUCGUUGAAAACUUAGCUCAGUCGGAUGGCAAUUACAACGAGGAUUAUGACAGAAGCAUCCGCACUAGUACUGACACUGAUGACAAGCACCGCAAAGAGAUGAAAGCUCUCAAUGACAAACUUGACAAGCUCCUGCAAGUGCAACAGACGCAUGUUCACUUCGUCUCUGAAGAUGAACAAUUCCAAGUCCAAGAGGGGGAGAAUGAUCAGUCUGCUGAAAUCAGUUACAUUCAGAACCAAGGUGGCUACAACAACUACAGACCAAACCCGAAUCUGUCAUACAGAAGCAACAAUGUUUCCAACCCUCAAGACCAAGUUUAUCCUUCUCAGCAGCAGCAGCAACAACAACCCAAACCGUUUGUUCCAUACAACCAAGGUCAAGGGUUCGUUCCAAAGCAGCAGUUCCAGGGAGGAUAUCAAUAACAGCAACCACCACCUGGUUUCCCAUCACAGCAACAUCAAGCACCUUCGCCUCCGGAUUCUGAUAUAAAGAACAUGGUCCAACAGAUACUUCAAGGGCAAGCCACAGGAGCGAUGGAAAUUGCAAAAAAGUUGGCUGAAUUAAACAACAAAGUCGACCGCAAUUUCUGUAACCUUAACAACAAGUUUGAAUCAUUGAGUACUAGACUACGCUAUCUGGAAGCCAAUCCUAUUUCAACAUCCAUUUCCAACAACCCAGGCCAACUUCCAGGGAAAGCAAUCCAGAACCCAAAGGAGUAUGCCACUGCUCAUGCUAUCACUAUCUGCUAUGAUCGAGAGCUGCCAACUCGACAUGCCCUUAACUCAAUCACUGAGGGCAGUGUGGUUCAAGAGGGGGAGGAUUUUUGUCAAGAUGACGUUAUGGCUGACCAAACACUAGAGGAGCCCAUACUCGACAAGCAGUCUACUCGCCCACCAGCUUCACCAGUCGCUCCCACUGUUGAAAAACCAGCUGCUGCAAAGACCAAGGAUACAGUCUUGGUGCCACCACCUUACAAACCCCCGCUUCCAUUCCCUGGUCGAUUCAAGAAAGUGCUUAUUAAGAAGUAUCAAGCCCUCCUGGAAAAACAACUGAAAGACCUCGAAGUAACGAUGCCUCUAGUGGACUGUCUUGCACUAAUACCAGAUUCCCACAAGUAUGUGAAGGAUAUGAUCACGAAGAGAAUCAGAGAAGUUCAAGGAAAGGUGGUUUUGAGUCAUGAGUGCAGUGCAAUCAUCCAAACGAAGAUUAUUCCCAAGAAAUUGGGAGAUCCUGGUUCGUUUACCUUACCUUGCUCUCUAGGUCCUUUAGCCUUCAGUAACUGCCUCUGUGAUCUAGGUGCUUCUAUAAGUCUCAUGCCUCUCUCUGUGGCCAAUAGACUGGGUUACAGCAAGUAAAAAUCUUGCAACAUCUCCUUGAUCUUGGCAGAUAGGUCUGUUAGACUACCUCAUGGGUUAUUAGAAGAUUUGCCUAUAAGGAUUGGAAAUGUUGAAGUGCCCACAGACUUCAUAGUGCUAGAAAUGGAUGAAGAACCAAAAGAUCCUUUAAUCAUAGGAAGGCCCUUCUUAGCAACAGCCGGAGCAGUCAUAGAUGUUAAAAAAGGGAAGAUUGAUCUUAAUCUUGGAAAAGAUUUUAAGAUAAAGUUGGACAUCAAUGAUGCUAUAAAGAAGCCGACAAUAAAAGGACAAACCUUCAUGGUUAAGGAAAUGGAUCGGCUAGCUGAUGAACUGCUAGAGGAGCUUGCUGAUGAAGAUCGCCUUCAAACUGCUUUAACAAAGAGUGGUGAAGCUGGGUAUCUCCCAAGUGAGACCUUUAGCUCUGAGAACUUAUUAGACUCACGCAAGGCAACAACUGGAUCAGAUGUCAUUGAGGGUUUGAUUGCGUCAGAAAAAAAUGGUAUGGCAGCAAUUGAGGCAAGCUCGCCCCAUAACCGACCUGCUGACUUGACCGUCUACUCGAGUAAUCCUUUAACUCGCCCACAGAGCUCAUGCUCGACAAAACUGCUUAAUCAGAAGCUAGAGUCUCACAAUUUUGCAUCAGACGAUUGGUUAAAACUCAUGGAGAGGUCUAAAUGGCAGGACAAAGCCAUAAGGGAGUUAACAGACACUGUGAGAAAUCUAAAGGAUCAAGUCAAAGUGCUCCAUGGGAAAGCCAACCAAGGACCACUCAAUAUCAAGGACGUACCAAAUGAUGAAGCCAUUGCUCUGGUUAGCAAAGAAAAAAAUGAAUUCACAUUUGAUUGGUCUAUAGAAGAAGACUAUCCGGAUGAUCAGAAAGAAGCUUACUUUAAAGAAUCGGCCAUUGAGUACUCAGUUGCAGACUUGUCAAGAGAGCAUGCUGAGUUUGAUGAUCCAUCUACUGGGGAAGAAGAGGAGGCCGCAUUUCAUCUCCACAAACCUCCCUAGGCCUAAUAAGUGUGAGGAGUCAAGCUAGAGACUUAAAACAAGCUCACUUGGGAGGAAGUCCCAUGACUAUCCUUGUAUAUAGUUUUUAUUUUCUUGUUGUUUUUGAUUUGUGUUGGUAGUGUUUUUUUAGUUCUCAAGAGGCGUAAUUGUCAAGAGCAGUAACAGAAGAAAUAUGGUGAACACACUCGAUCGCAACGUCGGGGUAUCAUUGAUGCCUUGCGAUCGAGUGCUUUGGUUUAGGGGAAGGCUACAGUUCGAAAUUUUUAUUGAACAUACUCGAUCACGAGAUCGCAUGAACGCCGUGCUCCACAACCUGCUGGGGUUGCAAUUGAGCACGAUGAUGAGGAGAUGGCGGAAGCGCAGCUAGGACCUGUCAUGCCUACGGAUUACACUCAAGCGGAGAUGGAUGACUACAUCUCCAGGCAAUUUUCCUGAGGUAACACACCAAAAAACAAUUGUAAAUACCGUUUUUGUUUUUGUUUCUUGUGUUUAUCUUGAAUUCUUUCACAAAUUUUUAUUACACAAGGGACUGUGUAAUUUAAGUUUGGGGGAGGGUUCAAGACGUAUUUGACUUAUUUUUUGUGAAUAUCAUUUGAGUCUGCAUAUCAUCUAAAACAUAGAAAAAAAACAAAAAAAUUUGAAAAUUUCUGAAAAUGUGUUCCACAAAAACAGAGUGCUCAUGUAGCUGCAUUGCAUUUAGGAUCGAGUCUAGAGUGUUUCAUUUAGGAUUGUUGCAUAUGCAUAGGGGAUAAUGAGGAAAUAACCUUGUAAGCAUGUUGAUUUACUGAAUAAACUCAAUGCCCUCGUUACUAGUUGUCUGAUGCAUUUGAAUGACUUUGAAGUAAAACUGCACCAUGUUCUAUAGAAACCACUCGAUAGCAUGUCAUGAAACCUUUCCCUGUCAAUUUGAACUUGAAUCUGACUUAUAAUUAUCAUGUUUGCAUCGGUUUUGAACUCGUGGAUAGAAUACAUACUUGGAUUUUCUUUCACUUAUUCACCACUCUUGUUAAUCCAAGUAGCUGCUUCUGUUAUUGGAGUAGUUUCCCCACCCUUAACCAACCCUUCUUUCAAGCCAUGUUAUUUGUGAGAGCAUGUGAGGCCUAUUUCAGGAUUGAGCUUGGUAGAACGUGUUAGGUUUGAGCCGACAAGAGUAGUAUCUCAUGUAGUUCCAAUCCGCAUUUUCGGACUUGGUAGGACUAGGUGGGAACUUAUUUGGGAUUGAGAUUGAGUGUGAAAAGAAAAAAGAAAAAAAACGGGUUAAAGUCUUUAGGAGAAGGAAGUUGAAAAUCAUACUCAGGUCUAGUGAAUAUUUGGGAAGUAAAGAAUUGUUAAGUUAUGCUCUAAAAAAAAAAAAAAAAAAAAAAAAAAAAAAAUGGCAACAAAAACAGAAAAGAUUAUAAGAGCCAUAAGAGUUUAAGAAAAACCAAUUCACUAGACUAGACUCAUAGAGUAUAAGAAAGUUUCUCCUUAAGAACAAGAGCCAAAGAAAAGAAAAGACAGAUUGAUCCAAGAAAAAUAUCGAAAUAUGCCUUUAGUGCAAAAGGGUAGACUUAGGAUCAUCAAUGGGUUUAGAAAUAGGACCAUCUACUUGUUAUUCACAGUUUAUGUCAUUGGGUAGAUGGGAUGCUAUUCUUGUAUGCAUAGGUUGGCACUUACCUUUAGCAUUCUUCUAAAGCUCAGUCUAUUCUUAUUGAGAGUCCGCUGUUAUUAAAAUCUGAACCACCUUAAAGGGACCAUCUUUGUCUCAUAACCUGUCCUUAGCCAAACGAGUUCACUAACGUUGCACAGCUUGAUUCAUGAUUUUGAACUUAAUGAAUGUUAAAGGGAUUGGUUGAUUUUGACGCAUUAUGCAAUUGAGUGUGAGUUGGAUCUUGACAGAGCAUGGCUAAAGUUUUUGAGUAGAAGUCGUUCACCACGCAUCUUAGAACUAUUAACUUGGACAUUGAGCUUAAUUACUUCAUCACAUGUUUUGGUUCUGAGUCCCCAACUUCAAACCUCUCCUCCCGCUUAUGUUUUCUUGUUUGCUUGAGGGCAAGCAAAGACUAAGUUUGGGGGAGUUGAUAUGUCUAUAAUUUGCAUGAUUUAAGCAUUCAUUCUUCAUCACUUUGUCAUUGUUUCAAUCACAUUUCAUCUCAUUAGUAGUCGUUUUAGUGUGUUUUGCAUACUUAGGACGUUUUUGCAUUAGGAUUGCAUGUGCAUUGCAUAUUUGGUUGUUUUCAGGUACUUUGGAUGCUUUUGGAGUUCAAACAGAGGAGAAACAGAACAGAAAUUCAGAACGCUCAAUCACUCCCUCAGCCAAAGCACUCGAUCGCAACCUCGGAGCCCUGACAGAGCAAAGCACUCGAUCGCAACCCCAGAAACUGUUAUGAAGGGCAAAACCACUCGAUCACAACCCCGGAGCAAUUUCAGAAGAAACCACUCGAUCGCAAGAUCGAGCAGAAGCUGUCAUGAAGGACAUAUCACUCGAUAACAACCCUGGAGAAGCCAGCAGCUUAGUUUCACUCGAUCGCAAGCUCGGAGGGAUCACCCACUCUACACCACUCGAUCACCACCUUGUCAUCAGAAGCCCAUCUACUCAUUCCUCACUCAACCAGACAAGCUGAGCAUACGGAAGAGAAGAGAAGCUGAAGAAACCACUCGAUCACCACCUCACAUCAUUUACUCGAUCGCACCACUCGAUCGCAAGGUCGCUGGACCAUUCCAUCUCGUCUUCACUAUAGACCACUCGAUCGCAAGACAGAGUUCCCGAAGCCCAGUUUGAUCAGUUUCACUCGAUCACAGGGAAGCCCAUUUCAGCCCAUCAGAUGCUUGAUCGCAAAGUCUUGUUGUGAAGACCACUAUCCCGAACUUUCCUUAUUUAACUUUUUUCGCUUAUAUAAGCAGCCUCUAAGGGUUUUCCCUAGGGCAUCCAGUUUUUAUUUUCAGUUUUUACCUAGACUCGUUUUGGUAGCCGCAGUGUGUUCUUCCUGCGACUUUGUAUUUGC
RNAcentral lists this long non-coding RNA (7313 nucleotides) under Arabidopsis lyrata. RNAcentral describes it as "long non-coding RNA (ALYR_LNC003408)". The record is from RNAcentral. Lineage: Eukaryota; Viridiplantae; Streptophyta; Magnoliopsida; Brassicales; Brassicaceae.